This 377-nucleotide ribosomal RNA is filed under the name Pasteuria ramosa. RNAcentral describes it as "bacterial SSU rRNA". It matches the Rfam family "Bacterial small subunit ribosomal RNA", at positions 1147 to 1518 of the family's 1533-position model. Lineage: Bacteria; Bacillati; Bacillota; Bacilli; Caryophanales; Pasteuriaceae. The record is from RNAcentral.
ANNNNNCGGCGAAAGCCGGAGGAAGGCGGGGAUGACGUCAAAUCAUCAUGCCCCUUAUGUCCUGGGCUACACACGUGCUACAAUGGCCGUUACAGAGGGAAGCGAAACCGCGAGGUGGAGCCAAUCUCAGAAAAGCGGUCUCAGUUCGGAUCGCAGGCUGCAACUCGCCUGCGUGAAGUAGGAAUCGCUAGUAAUCGCGGAUCAGCAUGCCGCGGUGAACACGUUCCCGGGCCUUGUACACACCGCCCGUCACACCACGAGAGUGGGUCAUACCCGAAGUCGGUGGGGGAACCCGGUUUACCGGGACCCAGCUGCCGAAGGUAGGGCUCGCGAUUGGGGUGAAGUCGUAACAAGGUAUCCCUACCGGAAGGUGGGGA